RNAcentral lists this unclassified non-coding RNA (3350 nucleotides) under Leishmania donovani. RNAcentral describes it as "gene:LdHU3.15.0250(CDS-product:serine/threonine-p rotein_kinase_putative)". The record is from RNAcentral. Lineage: Eukaryota; Euglenozoa; Kinetoplastea; Trypanosomatida; Trypanosomatidae.
CAUCUCUGCAUCCGCUGCUCCGUUUCUCCCUCGCUCUGACCGCGAAGGGGGGAGAUCAGCAAUGGCUGACUCUUCGAAGGUGACGUUGUCGCGGGCGAGCCCGGAGCGGUUGGUGCAUCACCACCGCGCCAGGUGCGCGGCGCUGGAGGGGGAGACCCAUGCGCCGUAUGAGGUGGAGGCAGAGCCCACGCAAGUGGAUAGCAGCCACCGCCACUACCUCCACUACGGUAACGCGGCCCACAUAGGCGUCCACUGGCACUCCUCUGAUGCCGUUCAUGGCGGCUACUCGGAGCCGAGCGCCGCUGGGGAGCUCACCGCGGAGUCGCGAGAGACGGGAGCGGUGAACGCGGCGCCCGCCCCCACAACAAGUAGCAGCACCAGCUCCCCCAACUCAGCCUCGACUGCAGCCCGGACUCGCCUUUCAUCGUCUCACCUGUCCCCCCGCACCGCGGGCGAAGGCCAGCGAGCGUCCUUGACGCAUAACCCCCCUGCCGUGCAUGCAGAUCCGGCAGCGCGGCCAGCUGCACCAAUGGCGUCCACGGGCGCAAAUGGCUGCGGCCAUCCAGCCGUGUCGGCGUCAGCUGAGGGCCGACUCAACCAUGUGCACGCCACCGGAGAGGCAGGUGCGCCAUCUUCUGCGUCUUCCCACUCGACUGGGCCGCCGGCGCCGACGGCUGCACCUCCCAAAGACGCGAGCACCACCACCGCUGCCAAGAACCACCCUCUGGCAUCCGCAACGACGCACGCCAGAACGGGUUUUAGUAACGGCAGGCUGCCAUCUCAUCCCGAGCCAGCGGCGUCCACGGCAGCUGGCACCACGCGGCCACCGUCGCACCCACAGCUGCCCCUAUCCCACCCCACCACGUCUAGCGCCGCGGCGGCGGCAGCGGCUACAUUUUCCUCGGGUGCUGUCGCAAAGGAGGGUGGUACCAACGGCGCAGGCGCGAGUACCUCGGACGGGGCUGAUCCCUACGCCCGCCCAGCCAUCGCCCUCAGCGUGCACCUUCUGGACUUGUACAAGAUGGUGAACGCGCGGUACUGCGCGCAGCGGCGCCUCGAGUCCCCGGGACCGAAGUACAACAGCGGCUACGAUGACAAGGAUGGCCACUAUUUGUUCCUACCAGGGGAGGUGAUCUUCCAGCGGUACAUUGCACAGGAGGUGUUGGGCAAGGGCAGUUUCGGCACCGUCAUCCGCGGCUUUGACCAGAAGCGGUCCGAGGCAGUGGCGAUGAAGAUCACGCGUCGCGGCUCGAGCUUUCGGAGCCAGGCGAAGCUGGAGCUUGACAUCCUGUUGCGCCUCAACGAGAACCCAGCACUGAACCACCUCGUGGUGCGACUGUUGAAGGUGUUUGAGUGGCAGGGCCACCUUGUACUGGUGUUUGAGCUGCUGAGCUUCAACCUGUACCAGCUCAUCAAGUGCACCCGGUUCAACGGGGUGAGUCUGGACCUGGUGCGCAAGUUCGCCUACCAGCUGACGCACACGCUGCUGCAGCUUGAGUUGCAGAAGCCGCACCCGAUAAUCCACUGUGACCUGAAGCCGGAGAACAUACUGCUGCGCAAUCAAAACAGAAGCGGCAUCCGCCUGAUCGACUUUGGCUCCGCCUGCUACACUGCCAAGCGUUUCCACCGCUACAUCCAAAGCCGCUUCUACCGAAGCCCAGAGGUGAUACUGUUUCUCGAUUACGGCACGCCGAUCGAUCGCUGGUCGCUGGCGUGCGUGCUGGUGGAGAUGCACACCGGCGUCCCUUUGUUUGACGGCCGCACGGAGGCGGCGCAGCUGGCAAAGAUCGAAGCCACUCUCGGGCCGAUACCGGCGGGAAUGGUGGCGGGGUCGCCCAAGGCAAAUCGGUUCUACUACGGCAACGCCACGUCUGGAUUCCAGCUGAAGGAGCCCAUUCCGGAGCGGCGCACGCUCGAGAGCGUCAUCGGCGUCACCACCGGCGGGCCGCGGGGCCGGCGCCUCAACACUCCCGGCCACGACGAAAAGGCGUACCGCGAGUUCCACGACUUCAUCUCGCGCUUUUUACGAUAUCAACCGGAGGAGCGGAUGAGCUGCCGCGAUGCGCUGCAGCAUCCUUUUCUGAGGCCCCUGUACACAUCAGACCUUCAGCAACAGAAGGAUCGUGAAGUUGCUCAGCCGAUAUCCGCCCCGCAACCCCCACAGAAACAGCAACACACUCAAUGCUCUCAGAACAGCAAACCGCAGCCGCAGUCGCCGAAGAACAUUAAUGCCACAACAACAAAAAUGCUCACCUCCACAGAGCGCAGCCGCGCAUCUGCUCUUCCUCCAGCCGAAUAGAGAUGGGAGGCAGGCGGCGACUACUCCCCUCCCCCGUGGAAAGAGGAACGAAAGGAAAUAACACCAUACAGCCUACACGUCUCGGCCUCUCCCCCUUUGUUUUCGUAAUACCUAUUACUAUCUUCUGCCUCCCUCCCCCCACCCCUUGUUUGCGUGCGUGCUGGUCGACCUGCUCGUUGUGCAUCUGCCUGUGUAAUCUCUCACCUCUGUCCGUCUGUCUUUUGUCGCACUUAAUACACCGUGAUGAUGGCGUCGCUUGUGUGGUUGGUCCCUCCCCGUUUCUCGUUCUCCUGUCUGUUUCUGUCUGUGCCCCGUGGUGUUGUUGUGUGGGGGUGUGAGGUGGGGUGGGGUGGGGUCGGGGACUUCCCUCAGCGUUCGGUUGCUCUGCUGCCUUGCGUGGUAUCCGGUGUGCGCAUGUGUGUAGAUGUCUGCCUUCUCGUUCUCCUCUGUCUGUUUUUUGUUCUGUGUUCGAACGGCGCCCCCCUCUCUCUUCCGCACAGGUGUUGUCGUUGUUGUGUCCCCAAAGUGGGUGAGCUGGUGCGUGUGUAUAUGCGUAUAUGUAUCGCUGCGUGUGCAUGUUUUGCCUUUUUCGCUUAUAGACGAUGGCCUGCCUCUCAUUUCCUCUCUCUUGUCUCUCUCGUGAACGCCGUUGUCUUCCCCUCCCCUCCCCUCCCUCCUUCCCUCUCUCCACAUCUCUAUCUCUGCGUGAUGGAUUCGCUACCUCACGUGGGUGCGUCGCGCGCCCAAACGAGCAAUGGCAGAGACAGUCAAGAGGGGUGGUAGACGCGGCGCUUGCGUCUCUGCCGCUUGUGCUCUCAUCGCCGCACCACUUUGUGCCUCGAUUCUUCUCGUUCUUUCUGUGUACAUGCGCGCACCCCACCACCUGCCACCGUGGAGCCUCUCCUUCAAGGCCUGUAAGACUCUCCUUUCCCUCCAUUCUCUUUCGAUGUUGCUUCACCUGUGCUUCCGCCGCACCUGAAGGAAUGCGGAAGAGGGGGGGGGGAGAGAUGGAUGGAGGGCGACUGCGUCUACGGAGUGUGCCCUUUUACAU